GAUGAACGCUGGCGGCGUGCCUAAUACAUGCAAGUCGAACGAGUUCUGAUUAUUGAAAGGUGCUUGCAUCUUGAUUUUAAUUUUGAACGAGUGGCGGACGGGUGAGUAACACGUGGGUAACCUGCCCUUAAGUGGGGGAUAACAUUUGGAAACAGAUGCUAAUACCGCAUAAAUCCAAGAACCGCAUGGUUCUUGGCUGAAAGAUGGCGUAAGCUAUCGCUUUUGGAUGGACCCGCGGCGUAUUAGCUAGUUGGUGAGGUAACGGCUCACCAAGGCAAUGAUACGUAGCCGAACUGAGAGGUUGAUCGGCCACAUUGGGACUGAGACACGGCCCAAACUCCUACGGGAGGCAGCAGUAGGGAAUCUUCCACAAUGGACGCAAGUCUGAUGGAGCAACGCCGCGUGAGUGAAGAAGGCUUUCGGGUCGUAAAACUCUGUUGUUGGAGAAGAAUGGUCGGCAGAGUAACCGUUGUCGGCGUGACGGUAUCCAACCAGAAAGCCACGGCUAACUACGUGCCAGCAGCCGCGGUAAUACGUAGGUGGCAAGCGUUAUCCGGAUUUAUUGGGCGUAAAGCGAGCGCAGGCGGUUUUUUAAGUCUGAUGUGAAAGCCCUCGGCUUAACCGAGGAAGUGCAUCGGAAACUGGGAAACUUGAGUGCAGAAGAGGACAGUGGAACUCCAUGUGUAGCGGUGAAAUGCGUAGAUAUAUGGAAGAACACCAGUGGCGAAGGCGGCCGUCUGGUCUGUAACUGACGCUGAGGCUCGAAAGCAUGGGUAGCGAACAGGAUUAGAUACCCUGGUAGUCCAUGCCGUAAACGAUGAAUGCUAGGUGUUGGAGGGUUUCCGCCCUUCAGUGCCGCAGCUAACGCAUUAAGCAUUCCGCCUGGGGAGUACGACCGCAAGGUUGAAACUCAAAGGAAUUGACGGGGGCCCGCACAAGCGGUGGAGCAUGUGGUUUAAUUCGAAGCAACGCGAAGAACCUUACCAGGUCUUGACAUCUUUUGAUCACCUGAGAGAUCAGGUUUCCCCUUCGGGGGCAAAAUGACAGGUGGUGCAUGGUUGUCGUCAGCUCGUGUCGUGAGAUGUUGGGUUAAGUCCCGCAACGAGCGCAACCCUUAUGACUAGUUGCCAGCAUUUAGUUGGGCACUCUAGUAAGACUGCCGGUGACAAACCGGAGGAAGGUGGGGAUGACGUCAAAUCAUCAUGCCCCUUAUGACCUGGGCUACACACGUGCUACAAUGGAUGGUACAACGAGUUGCGAGACCGCGAGGUCAAGCUAAUCUCUUAAAGCCAUUCUCAGUUCGGACUGUAGGCUGCAACUCGCCUACACGAAGUCGGAAUCGCUAGUAAUCGCGGAUCAGCACGCCGCGGUGAAUACGUUCCCGGGCCUUGUACACACCGCCCGUCACACCAUGAGAGUUUGUAACACCCGAAGCCGGUGGCGUAACCCUUUUAGGGAGCGAGCCGUCUAAGGUGGGACAAAUGAUUAGGGUGAA
Molecule: ribosomal RNA, 1495 nt
Filed under: uncultured organism
Description: SSU rRNA
Rfam family: Bacterial small subunit ribosomal RNA
Source: RNAcentral